AGAUUUAUAGCUCAAUGGCAGAGCAUCUUGUUGAUAAUGAGAAGGUUAAUGGUUCGAGCCCAUUUAAAUCUA
Molecule: transfer RNA, 72 nt
Filed under: Capsaspora owczarzaki
Lineage: Eukaryota; Filasterea; Ministeriida; Capsasporidae
Description: tRNA-Ile
Rfam family: tRNA
About the family: Transfer RNA (tRNA) molecules are approximately 80 nucleotides in length.
Source: RNAcentral